Molecule: long non-coding RNA, 312 nt
Filed under: Homo sapiens (human)
Lineage: Eukaryota; Metazoa; Chordata; Mammalia; Primates; Hominidae
Description: non-protein coding lnc-CERCAM-1:1
Source: RNAcentral
CCUGGUGUGCCUAGGGUGUGGGGCCUGGCACCCAGUCCUGCCUGGCAGAGCCUGGAGAGAAGUGAGCCGCGGUUGGUGGAGUAGUCGCAGCGGCCCGGCGCGUUCUCAGCCCGGCUCUUUGUCUGCUGCUUUGUGAUGGUUCUGGCCUCGAGAGAGAAGGCCCUAGGGGUACAGGAGUCAGAGCAGGGGACCUUGGCAGACUCACGGACGGGGCUGAAUCCAGCUCCACCCGGUAACUGUGUGAUCUUGGACAGGUGUGGCCCUCUCCCAGCCUGCUUUCCCCAUGUGGGGACCACGGACCAGGUUCAUUCA